GAGUAACACGUUGGAACCUGCCCCAAAGUGAGGAAUAAGCCACCGAAAGGUGGUCUAAUACUUCAUAAUAUCCAUCUCGUAUGGAUUAAAGCUUUAUGCGCUUUGGGAGGGGCCUGCGUAACAUUAGCUUGUUGGUGAGGUAAAAGCUCACCAAGGCUUCGAUGUUUAACUGGUUUGAGAGGAUGACCAGUCACACUGGGACUGAGAUACGGCCCAGACUCCUACGGGAGGCAGCAGUAAGGAAUCUUCCACAAUGGGGCAACCCUGAUGGAGCAAUACCGCGUGCAGGAUGAAGCGUUUCGGCGUGUAAACUGCUUUUAUCACCGAAGAUUAUGACUGUAGGUGAAGAAUAAGGACCGGCUAACUACGUG
This 371-nucleotide ribosomal RNA is filed under the name uncultured bacterium. RNAcentral describes it as "bacterial SSU rRNA". It matches the Rfam family "Bacterial small subunit ribosomal RNA", at positions 108 to 507 of the family's 1533-position model. The record is from RNAcentral.